RNAcentral lists this ribosomal RNA (447 nucleotides) under Burkholderiales bacterium RIFOXYC12_FULL_65_23. RNAcentral's name for it is "bacterial SSU rRNA". It matches the Rfam family "Bacterial small subunit ribosomal RNA", at positions 1 to 447 of the family's 1533-position model. Lineage: Bacteria; Pseudomonadati; Pseudomonadota; Betaproteobacteria; Burkholderiales. The record is from RNAcentral.
AGAUCGAACUAUAGAGUUUGAUCCUGGCUCAGAUUGAACGCUGGCGGCAUGCUUUACACAUGCAAGUCGAACGGUAACAGGUCUUCGGAUGCUGACGAGUGGCGAACGGGUGAGUAAUGCAUCGGAACGUGCCCAGUCGUGGGGGAUAACGCAGCGAAAGCUGUGCUAAUACCGCAUACGAUCUAUGGAUGAAAGCGGGGGAUCGCAAGACCUCGCGCGAUUGGAGCGGCCGAUGUCAGAUUAGCUAGUUGGUGGGGUAAAGGCCCACCAAGGCGACGAUCUGUAGCUGGUCUGAGAGGACGACCAGCCACACUGGGACUGAGACACGGCCCAGACUCCUACGGGAGGCAGCAGUGGGGAAUUUUGGACAAUGGGCGCAAGCCUGAUCCAGCAAUGCCGCGUGCAGGAAGAAGGCCUUCGGGUUGUAAACUGCUUUUGUACGGAACG